CCUACGGGCGGCAGCAGUGGGGAAUAUUGGACAAUGGGCGAAAGCCUGAUCCAGCCAUGCCGCGUGUGUGAAGAAGGCCUUCGGGUUGUAAAGCACUUUCAGUGGGGAAGAAAGCCUUGGGGCUAAUACCCUCGAGGAAGGACAUCACCCACAGAAGAAGCACCGGCUAACUCCGUGCCAGCAGCCGCGGUAAUACGGAGGGUGCGAGCGUUAAUCGGAAUUACUGGGCGUAAAGCGCGCGUAGGCGGUCUGAUAAGCCGGUUGUGAAAGCCCCGGGCUCAACCUGGGAACGGCAUCCGGAACUGUCAGGCUAGAGUGCAGGAGAGGAAGGUAGAAUUCCUGGUGUAGCGGUGAAAUGCGUAGAGAUCGGGAGGAAUACCAGUGGCGAAGGCGGCCUUCUGGACUGACACUGACGCUGAGGUGCGAAAGCGUGGGUAGCAAACAGGAUUAGAUACCCGAGUAGUC
RNAcentral lists this ribosomal RNA (465 nucleotides) under Vreelandella stevensii. Its description in RNAcentral is "partial 16S ribosomal RNA". It matches the Rfam family "Bacterial small subunit ribosomal RNA", at positions 338 to 795 of the family's 1533-position model. Lineage: Bacteria; Pseudomonadati; Pseudomonadota; Gammaproteobacteria; Oceanospirillales; Halomonadaceae. The record is from RNAcentral.